GAUCUUUAUAUAUAAAGUAUUUUAGUAAAAAUUAGUUAAAGAUUAUUUUAAAUUAUUUUUAUAUUAUAUUGGGGUAAUAAUAAAAUUUAUUUAAUUUUUAAUUAUUUUAUACAAUAAUAAUUGAUUUUUUGAUCCGAUAAUUAUCGAUUGUAAAGUUAAGUUACCUUAGGGAUAACAGCGUAAUGAUUUUUGAGAGUUCUUAUCGA
This 206-nucleotide ribosomal RNA is filed under the name Micropygomyia trinidadensis. Its description in RNAcentral is "partial large subunit ribosomal RNA". The record is from RNAcentral. Lineage: Eukaryota; Metazoa; Arthropoda; Insecta; Diptera; Psychodidae.